CAGCAAGAGAGAUAUUUGGAUCCAGAGAGCAAGUUUGGUUUCUAAGAUUUUCCAGAUUUUUGUGAUGCCCUGAGAACUGCAAGAGUAAUUUUCUCACCAUUUUCUGUGCAUUUCAAGAUCUUACCGCCUAUCCCACAGGAAGAAGAGGAAAAGACUGAGCACGACAUGUAUCACCAGCUUAUUGUAAAGCAAACAAGGAAAAAGGAUGGAGAGAAGGAAAUCUCCCAUUGCCAACUGAAUCUCUAUGCUGAUCAUCUGUGAGAGUGACAAAUUAAGACUUUUCUGGAGGAAUGAGAGAGCCAGCAAGAAAGGCUCUCUAGCCUCACUCAGAUGAUUGCUUGAAAAUGAGAGAAAAAAGAGAUAUCUGAUAAUUGAUGAAAUCAUUGUUCAUUUUUGGCACCUGAAGUUGAUGGACUGGGAGACUGCAUGCCAAAGAUGGUCGUCAUAAUAUGCCAGUAGGUGACAAAUCUUGAUUUGUUU
Molecule: long non-coding RNA, 480 nt
Filed under: Dromaius novaehollandiae (emu)
Lineage: Eukaryota; Metazoa; Chordata; Aves; Casuariiformes; Dromaiidae
Description: lncRNA (ENSDNVG00000012690.1)
Source: RNAcentral